This 357-nucleotide long non-coding RNA is filed under the name Pan troglodytes (chimpanzee). RNAcentral describes it as "long non-coding RNA NONPTRT003255". The record is from RNAcentral. Lineage: Eukaryota; Metazoa; Chordata; Mammalia; Primates; Hominidae.
UUAUGGGGCUGUAAUUCCAUCCUGAAGGCUAUUUGUGGGUCAUGCUUCACUUCUUGUGGUUUAUGACUUCAACCCUAGCCCUCGAUGGAAUUAUAACCCAACAGUCACAGAGACUGCUAUUUAUCAUCUGUUUAUUUUACAACGAAGCAUCAAGUAUAUUUUGGUUUUAAGCUCAUGGAGAACACAAGAAGGAGAAGGAGGCAGAGGAAGAGGAGGAAGAGAUAGAAUAGUUUACCCAAAGCUAAAGCCAUGUCUCCCCAGCUAUAAAAACUGAAUAUCAGACAACGGUCCAGACAUGUUACCUCCACGAUGUUAGGGACUAAUUAGUGACCCGAAUCUCCAUGGUAGCGCUGCAUU